CAACCAACUAUAAUGGGUUUUUUUUUCUUAAUAUAAUACAACAUUUUAUCAAAGUGAAUUUUUGAAAUUGAUCCAAAACAAAAAAUAGUGUUUAAUUACUGAACAGAGUCUUUAACUGUGGAAGCCUCCUUGGCCCAUUGGUUGACCAAAGGUUAAUUAAUGCUUAUACACCAAGAGGUUUGGGGUUCGAGUCCCAGAUAUUACGAUUUAUUAAUAAAUUUGCAGAUUAAAGGAGGCAAGUGUGCAUGAGAUCUCCAGCGAAGUACAAUUAUAGCCGUUCGCCAGGAUUCUACGCAGAGAGAGAAGUGUCGUCAGGUCGUGGAUCAUUGAAGGUGUCCGUCAAGAGCAUGGAGAAGGAAGUGUCGUCUGUCGUGGAUCUAAUAUGGGUCGAAAGGAAUUGUCCGUUGUAGAAUCAUCUAUGUAACAGUUCUCAUAAUUUGCAAUAAAUAAUAAAUCUAGAUGUCAAAAAAAGAACAGAGUCUUUAAGAUUUGAUCGCAACACGAUAGACCAAUAUUUACAUAUUAACAUAUAUUGACGGAUUAAACUUUCAUAGUAAAGAACUUGUGUUUACUGAAAUGAAACCAACUUUGUAAGAUACAUAUUUGAUUUAAAAUAUAAAAAAAAUUAUGUUUGUUGAUAUUGUUUUUUUUCAUGGAAAAUAUACAUUUUAAGGAGAUUAGUAGAGAGAAAAGAAGACGUUAGUAAAUUUGAAUAAGUGUAUACCGAAAGUUCCUCUUUAUAGAUACAAGAAGAAAAAUAAUUUUUUUUAUUUAAUUAUCAAAUUACAUCACACAAAUAAUUUGGGACUUUGUGAUUACCUCGUCUCUCAUUGGUAUAUAAUCGGAUCCCGGAGCUGUGAAAGAAAUUGUUAGGAGAGUGGAAAAGGAUAUGACGAGAAAGUAAAACACUGAAAGUUUUGUGUAAACCAACAUUCUGAGAGAAUGUAAGAAACUUUAUUUCUUU
Molecule: long non-coding RNA, 964 nt
Filed under: Arabidopsis lyrata
Lineage: Eukaryota; Viridiplantae; Streptophyta; Magnoliopsida; Brassicales; Brassicaceae
Description: long non-coding RNA (ALYR_LNC002743)
Source: RNAcentral